UUUCCGUAGGUGAACCUGCGGAAGGAUCAUUGUCGAAAACUAGUAGAACGUCGAUGGACAUGAGGACUGGUUGGGACCCGCACAGGGGUGCGUGGGGGAUGGCCCCCCCCCCCAUGACACCCCCAUAGACGAUGCCUGCAUGCCUCGGUGGGCUGCAUGAGAACAUCGAUCAUACCCUUACAUCGGCACGGGAUGUGCCAAGGUAACUGGAUUGGAAGAGCUCCCUAUGGUCGUGCACGAUGUGUGCGUGGGAACCAUGGAGGUGGCCUGUGGAAACUAGGUACAAUGACUCUCGACAAUGGAUAUCUCGGCUCCCGUGUCGAUGAAGAACGCGGCGAAAUGCGAUACAUGGUGUGAAUUGCAGAAUCUCGUGAAUCAUUGAGUUUUUGAACGCAAGUUGCGCCCGAGGCCAUUUUCUGGUCGAGGGCACGCCUGCCUGGGUGCCUUGCAUGGAGUUGCCCUCAGACCUCCCUCGUCAGGUGUCCCCUUUAUUUGGUAGAUGUUUUCCCGGAGGUGCUGUGGGGUAGAUGGUGGCCUCCCGUUCCGUGUUGUGCGGUUGGCUUAAUUUCGUGGUCCUUGGUGGCAUGUGGCUCGACGAGUUGUGGCCAAUGACGUUAGUCUCAUGUCGGUGAGUGACCCCUUGCGGUCCCAUAGAUUCGUCGACACUUAGACGGAGUAAAUAUACCGACCCC
This 692-nucleotide unclassified non-coding RNA is filed under the name Viscum congolense. Its description in RNAcentral is "sequence contains ITS1, 5.8S rRNA gene, ITS2". The stretch from base 288 to 446 matches the Rfam family "5.8S ribosomal RNA". Lineage: Eukaryota; Viridiplantae; Streptophyta; Magnoliopsida; Santalales; Viscaceae. The record is from RNAcentral.